This is a non-coding RNA of Acanthosepion pharaonis, 99 nucleotides long. Lineage: Eukaryota; Metazoa; Mollusca; Cephalopoda; Sepiida; Sepiidae. The record is from the annotation of a GenBank genome assembly.
GUUGAAACACCCGUUCCCUUACGAUUACCGAAGUUAAGCAACGUCGAGCUUUGUUAAUAUCUAGAUGAGUGACCGCUUGGGAACACCAGGUGCUGUAAG